This 587-nucleotide ribosomal RNA is filed under the name Ameerega trivittata (three-striped poison frog). RNAcentral's name for it is "partial large subunit ribosomal RNA". It matches the Rfam family "Bacterial large subunit ribosomal RNA", at positions 1797 to 2597 of the family's 2925-position model. Lineage: Eukaryota; Metazoa; Chordata; Amphibia; Anura; Dendrobatidae. The record is from RNAcentral.
CGCCUGUUUAUCAAAAACAUCGCCUCUUGUUCAAUUAUAGGAGGUCCAGCCUGCCCAGUGACUUUGUUCAACGGCCGCGGUAUCCUAACCGUGCGAAGGUAGCGUAAUCACUUGUUCUUUAAAUGAGGACUAGUAUGAAUGGCCCCACGAGGGCUGCACUGUCUCCUUUUUCUAAUCAAUGAAACUAAUCUCCCCGUGAAGAAGCGGGAAUAAUCCUAUAAGACGAGAAGACCCUAUGGAGCUUUAAACAACUGAAACAUUUGCUUUUCUCCUAGUUCCUUCCGAGCUCUUUAUUUUUACUUAAGCAUUAUUAUUUCUAGUUUUAGGUUGGGGUGACCACGGAGCAAAACUAAACCUCCAUGAAGAAAUGAAUAUUUUUAAGCCACAAACUACCUUUUUAAGCAUCAACAAAUUGACCUUCAUUGACCCAAUAUAUUGAUCAACGAACCAAGUUACCCUAGGGAUAACAGCGCAAUCUACUUCAAGAGCUCAUAUCGACAAGUAGGUUUACGACCUCGAUGUUGGAUCAGGGUAUCCUAGUGGUGCAGCCGCUACUAAUGGUUCGUUUGUUCAACGAUUAAAACCCU